AUUCAUCUCUCUUGUCUCUUGCUUUCUGUCUUACAAAAAAAGAAGAAGAUAACAAUGGCUGUUGUCGAAGUUUUUGUUGGUGCAAUUCUCACUGUUUUGCUUGAGAAGCUGGCCUCUGGUGAGCUGCUGAAAUUUCUGCGUCGUGUAGGAAUUGAUGCCCAGCUGGAAGAAUGGCGUACAACUUUGUCGAUGAUCCAGGCCGUGCUUACUGAUGCUGAAAACAAGCAAAUAGGAAACGUAGCUGUGAAACAGUGGCUGACCGAUCUGGAAGAUUUGGCUUACGAUCUUGAAGACUUAGUGGAUGAGUUGAAUACCGAAGCUCUGCAGCGCAAAUUAAAAGAAAAUAAAGGCAGCACCAGCAAGGUAAGAAAGUUCAUCCCAAACUGUUGUACUAAUCUUUCUUACAGUGAUUUCAUGUUUGAUCGCGGGAUUGCUUCCAAGUUAAAAGAGAUUAGUGGCCGAUUGGAAGCUCUAUCCAAAAAGAUAAAAAUUUUCAGAUUAGUGGAGAAUGUGAGAGGGAGGUCUUACGAAAGAUUGCCAACAACUUCGCUCGUGGUAGAAUCGGAAGUUUAUGGAAGAGAGAAGGACAAAGAGGAAAUACUCAAAAUUUUACUUGGUGUUAAAUCAGAUGAUAGUCAAAUAUCUGUGAUUCCAAUUGUGGGCAUGGGAGGUGUCGGCAAAACUACUCUUGUCCAACUUGUGUAUAAUGAUGAAAUAUUGAAGGAUAAGUUUGAUCUGAAGGCAUGGGCUUGCGUGUCAGAUGAAUUUGACGCUGUUGAAGUAACGAAAAACAUUCUGGAGGCAGUUUCUUCUGGUGGAAAGUGUGAUUCUGAAAAUUUUGACAUGCUUCAGGUCAAACUAAAGGAAAGCCUUUCAAACAAGAAAUUUAUGAUAGUUUUGGAUGAUAUUUGGAAUGAAGAUUAUGUAAAAUGGGACAUCCUACGCCGUCCUUUUCUUGCUGGAAAACCUGGAAGCAUAAUCAUCAUUACCACUCGACAAGAAAGGGUGGCCAAAAUCAUGUCCGGAAUGCCAGCAUACCAUCUGAAUUUGUUGUCAGAGGGCGAUGCUUUAUCAUUGUUAGCUCAACAUGUAUUUGGAGUUAAAACUUUUGACGCAUAUCCAGAAUUAAUAGAGAUUGGUAAAUCUAUUGUAAAAAGAUGUAAGAACUUGCCCCUGGCAGUCAAGGCCCUUGGGGGGCUUCUUCGAAGGACAGUAGGUCCGAAAGGAUGGGAAGAGGUGUUGAAAAGUGAGAUCUGGAUGGCUGAAGAAAAGGGUGAAAUUCUUCCGGCUCUAAAACUGAGUUAUCACUAUCUUCCUCCACAAUUGAAAAGAUGCUUUGCUUACUGUGCGCUCUUCCCCAAGGACUAUGAAUUUGAAAAGUUCCAUCUGGUUUACCUUUGGAUGGCUGAAGGUCUUUUGCAGGAAUCAAUGAAAGAUAUGUCUAUUGAAGAAGUAGGCAGUCAAUAUUUUGGUGAACUGCUGGAUGGAUCAUUCUUCCAACAAUCAAGUGCCAAUGCUUCAUGCUUUGUGAUGCACGACCUCUUUAACGAUCUAGCUAUGUCUGUUGCUGGCGAUAAAUGUUUGAGGAUGGAUGAUGCACUGCAGGAAAAUCUUCCUGGUAAGGCUUCUGUCCGUCACUUGUCAUUCAAGCGCAGUUACUAUGAAACUUACCCUAGAUUUAACUUUCUCGACAAAGUUCCAAAAUUGAGAACAUUUUUGCCACUACCGGUUGGGGAGUUUCAUUGCAACUUAUCCCAAAGAAUUUUGCUUCAACUAUUCGCAAAUUCAUGCCGCUUAAGAUUUCUGUCCUUGAAUGGUUAUGAGAUAUACGAGUUGCCAGAUUCUAUCGGUGAUUUAAGACAGUUACGGUACCUAGGCUUAGCUCGAACUCCACUGAAGUGGUUGCCUAAAUCUGUGUGCACUCUUAUCAACUUACAAGUGUUGAUUCUAAGUGGUUGUUGGAGACUUACCAAAUUACCCACAAGCAUGGAAAAUCUUAUUAAUCUUCGGCAUCUGGACAUUUCUGAUACUAGUGAAUUGCAUGAGAUGCCACGGGAAAUUUCUCAACUAACAAGUUUGCGAACGUUAACUAAGAUGACUGCAAGUAAAAAUAAUGGAAUGAGGUUAAAGGAGUUGGGAAAUCUAUCAUUUCUACAAGGUGAUAUUUCUAUUGAGGAAUUGCAAAAUGUUGUGUAUGUUCAAGAAGCAAAGGAUGCAAGGCUAAUGGAUAAGACGAGCCUCAACAAAAUAAGGUUGGCAUGGAGCAAAGACUUUGAUGAUUCUCGAAAUAAGAUUUUAGAAUUGGAUGUGCUUAAUGCAUUAAAGCCCCAUAAAAAUUUAUCAACACUUGAAAUCAUGUACUAUGGGGGUGAGAAUUUCUCUAAUUGGAUUGGAGAUUCAGCAUUUUCUAAGUUAGCAAAGAUAAGCUUCAAAUUUUGUAAAAAUUGCACGAGUUUGCCACCAUUAGGGCAACUACCUUCUCUAAGAGACUUGAGCAUUCGAGGCACUGAUCAAGUAAAAGUGAUUGGAAAAGAAUUUUAUGGAAAUAGAGGCCAUGGAGAAUUACCUUUUCCAUCACUCACUAGUCUGACUUUUGCGGACAUGCCUAACUGGGAGGAAUGGCGUGGAAUAAAAGAUGUUAUCGAACUUCCUCGGCUACACAAACUGAACAUAAGAAGUUGUUCAAAAUUGGUCAGGCUUCCAGAUCUCUUACUGCCAUCCCUUCGUGAAUUAGAAGCUAUAGACUGUAAUAAGGUGGUGCUACAUCAUAUGCAGAAAUUGGAAUCUUUAACUCGAAUACAAUUGACGAACAUUUGUGAAUUAACUUCGGUUAUCAAAGCAUUUGACCAAUUUCCAUCUACGCUUGAAAGAUUGAGAGUAUCAGGAUGUGUGGACCUUGCGACUCUAUUGCCAAGUGAUGAUACCGCACAAAACCUUGUCAGCCUAUGGGAAGUGUAUGUUGAAAGUUGUCCUCGACUAUUGUCCCUUCAAGAGAUUGAUUUUCUUCCUGGUCUUAGGAGUCUUAAAAUAACAAAUUGUGGCGCUUUGGAGUUGUUGUCUAAUAAAAUAUCUUUUCUUGAGAAGUUGGAUAUCAAACACUGUCCAUCAUUAAAGACGGUGAUGAAGCUACAGGAUUGCAGCACCUCGCUCAAUUAUCUGUCUAUUUAUAGUUGGGUGAAUUUGAAUUUGACAAAUUUACUGGGCUCGGGCCACGAUUACACAAGUCUCACUUCAAUAUCCUUAUGGUGUUGUGAUGGUCUAGAGUCAUUUCCCCAUGGAGGCUUGCCCACACCAAAUUUAAGUCGUUUAUCUAUAGGGGGAUGUCGACAUCUCAAAUCUCUACCCGAUCAAAUGAAUCUACUUUCGGCCCUUUUAGACCUGUGGGUAUACAACUGUGCUUCAUUAAUGGAACUCUUUCCCAAACAGAAUAUUCCCCCAAAUCUGUCUCACCUUAAUAUCUCAUAUUGCCAGAAACUACGGCCCCUGGGAGAAUGGGGCCUACACACACUCACCUCUCUUAGUUCCUUUACAUUUAGUGAAUGUCCAGAGCUGGUUUCCCUCACUAACAAUGCUGACGAAGAACACUGUGUGCUUCCUCCAUCUCUAACUGAGUUGUCGUUGUACUACAUGCCGAAUCUGGAAACCCUAUCAAACGGCUUACAAAGUCUCACCUCUCUUCAACAUAUAUAUAUCUACGACUGCCCAAAGCUUGUGGCGUUGCCUUUGGAAGGCCAGCUUCAAAAGCUUUUGAGCCUUAUCAUUAAAGGCUGCCCACGUCUUCAGAAACGGUGUUUGAAGAACAAAGGAGACUACUGGCCCAUCAUUGCUGACAUUCCCGAAGUCGAAAUUGAUUUACGUUCCAUCUACGAUCCAUGUCCAUGAAUUCAGUUACAUGAGGUAAUAGAUUUAAUUUGAUACCUAUGAAUCUCAACGUCAUUUCAUGCUGAACACAUUUCGACAUUUCUGUCAAUUUUGUUUUCAAAUCAGAAUGUGAAUUUUCUGCAGCAAACAAGUGUUCAUGCUACUCUGUAUCUUAUAUUUGUGCUUCUGCUCUGCAGUAUGAAUCAAUAUGAGAGCUGGAUUUACCAACAAUCGAGUAACUAAUUGGCUAUGGCACUAAAAUCAGCCUCUCUUCUCCCCUUGUAUGUGUUCUAUUAAGAGUAAAAUUCUAUCAAAUAGACAAAUUGGAGUGAUAGUUGUUUGUUCAAUUAAUUACCUUCAACUUGGAUAGAAUAUUUGAUUAAGUUAUUAAUAUUUUGCUUCAAUCUGCUUUAGCAAAUUGGAAAUGGAUUGAUACAACUUACUGUAUGUUUAUGCAUUUUUGAAUUUUCAUGUUUACUAUAUGCUUUAACAAACUGGAAAUGGGUGUGCGUUUUUCAAACCUUUUUUGUAGAGUGGACGUUCUUACACUAUUUGAAUGAAACAAAUAAAAAAUUCAUUGUUUUGGUGUAGGCAUUUUCUCAUUACUUGUAAGAACGCAAGAUGGAAUGAAGGUGCCUCUUCUAUGAGGCCUUCAAGUAAGUCUCUUUUUCGAUUUACUUUCUGCAUUUGCAUUUAAGUGUUUGUGUAAAUACCAUAGUGAAAUUAUAUGGUAGGAUCUGUGACUGAAGCUAUGUUCAGACAUAUAACUUUUCUUGCCUUUAUUAUUUCACGAUUUUAGUAAUAUUUUCUGAUUAUUUCCCGGGUUGCAUAGUAAAAUUGAAUUAUUUUAUCAAAAGAUGGAUUUUUAUCAUCUCUUAGCUUCUCUAUUUUUUAUUUUUUUUAAAUAUCUUUAUGGAAUUGUUGUAAUAGUAUUACCUCUUUAUGAUCAUUUGAUUGUUGGAAGAUCAUACAAGGAAUUUCGGGACAAAUGAUUUUUUGUGAAAAAAAAGUUUUGUCUGAGUAGGAAAAGUAUAUCCAUCCGUGUGCGUUUAGAUCUGUUAUUCAUAUUGAUAGAUUAUAUUCCAUAUGUGGAUGCACAUUGCAUAUAGAACAUAUACUCACCUUGGGUUGUUAGGUACCUGUUGUAGCUUUGCACAUCUGCUCUCCGUAAUGUUUAUUGUUGCAACGUUCAUAUGAUCAGAUGGUUAUUGAUGGUGUUAAAUGUUACUCUAAUUGAUUGCUGAAAUUGAUAGGGUUGGGAUGUGACACUGAAUUUCUCCAAGCUGCCGUAAGUUUUCCCUCACUAUUUAUUGGUUAAUUUUUCUUUCACUUUUUCCCCCCUCUUUUUCACAUUUUACUUGAUACUCUCGUUAUAUGUGAUUAAUUUUGCGUUGGUAAUAUUAGGCUUGCUGCGAGGAAGGCCAAGAAGGAAAAGAAAGUGAAAGAUCCAAACAAGCCAAAGAGGCCUCCAAGUGCUUUCUCUGGCCAAAGGUUAAUUAGACCAUUAAUCCAUUCAAUGCUAUUUCUGCUUUCAGGGAAGGGUUCAGGAAACAAUCCAAGAAAAAAAUAGCCGAAUCAAUUGUUGUUGUAAGUUCAUCAUUCUUUUUAAAUUUUCUUUGAAGCUUAAUAUUCAAGCCAGAUAUUUGCACUAGGAGCUUGCAUGAUAAUUUUCUUUAUGAUUUCUUGUUUUCCUUUUGGGAAUAAAUAAUAAUAUAGGUUGGAAAAGUUGGUGGAGCUAAGUGAAAGUCCAUGAGUGAUGAGGUAAAUAUAUGCAAUCUAAGUUAUUAUUUAUAUUUUAUUCCUCAUCUCAAGAAAGUUCCUAAUGUUAUGAAAAUAAGGAAAGCUCCCUCGGUGCAAAAAGACAGAGAAACUAAAGGAGGAAUAUGAGCACAAAUGGCAUACAAUUACAAGAAUUUGACAAUCCAUCUAUGAGAAGCAUAGCCUUAUACAUUGUUUAGUUUAGACUACGAUAUGGAAAUGACUUAUAUCGAACUAUUUUUAUAGGUUGGAGUUGCUAAUGAUGAGUCCAGCAAGUCAAAGUCCAAGGUUAAUGAUGAUGAGGACAAUAAGAGCAAUGGAGAUUUUAGUUGAGAUUAAGCUAUACAACCUUUUUUACUUGAAAUUUGGUGACUGUGUUGACUUAUUAUUUUGUUUUAAUUAAUGUAGGAGGAAGACGAUGUGUAAGGACCAUCACAGAAAAUUGGAUUCUGGAUUCAAGGUGAUAACUAACAAACAAACAAUUUUCCUUCAUUAAUUUGCGUUCUGGCUUCAAAUUUUGUAAAAUGUUUGAAUUCAAAUCGGGUUAAUCGGAUUGGUGAAAUUAGGAUUUCAUGAAGAAUUGUCCUGUAGAAAUUGGGCUUCAUGUUAAUUCUAUUGAAAUCAAUUGAAAUUAAUUAUUGAUAAUAAGACUUUUCUCCUCUUUUUUUGGUUGUGAGUGUUGCUAAGGUGUUUUUUUUUUCUUCUUUAUAGUGAGGGAACAAGCAUCUCUUCCCUUCCAUUAACUCUAGCAAGAAAAAGAGAGGAAACGUAUCUCUUGAUUUUCCUUUUCUGUAUGCAAUUAUUUAGAGGGAAUCGGUGGAGGAAGAGGAGGUCGAGUGUUUGUAGACCCAUGAGCAACAAAGGCAGACUACAAUAAGAAUUUGGUAAGUCCAUCAAUGAAAUACUCUAUUACAAUACACCACGUGCGUUACACGCCAGGAAUUAGUUUGAUAAAUAUUUAAUGUUUUACAGCUAGUAGCUCAUAUAUUGUUAAAUCAUUAAAUCACAUUCCUUUUGUGAAAUCAUUGAAGUUAAAAAAUGGUAGAGAGAAAAAUAUUAAUUUAUUCGUAUCUUAAAUACAUCUUUUGGGGUGCAGGUAAAUUUAAUUUUUCUAUAGACAUGACAUGUAUAAUUUUGAUGGGAUGACGUUAUUAUUAUGCAGAUUUCCAUCUGGUUGACCAUUUCCAAUACAAGUUUGGGGCUCCAAGUUUAGAUACUCAUAGCUCAGUCAUUUACUGGAUCAAGAAAAUUGUUAAUUAUGUCAGUUGCUAUGAGCUUGUGGGUGGACCACCUACAUGGCAGGCUUUGUAUAUAUUUUGUUACAAGCUCCGGUUCACAACUGUUGAUGAUGUGUUGUUUAAAUUAGAUAUGACUUGUACAUGGUUUUUGUUGUUAAGGAGUUGCUGGAAGAGGCCAAACCAACCAUUAUUUAAGAGCAAUCCAAGAAACUACAUUUGUUAAGUGAAGCCAACGCUCUGCUAAAGAAAACAAAAAGAUUAUGAAGAUUGAGGAUGAUCGAGUUCACGUUUCACUUUUUAUCCUUCCAUCCCCAUCUCCUUGAGUAAAGAUCAUUUGUUGUAUUACAUGGCUACCAAAUAUUUCAAACACUCCUGGGAACAUUUUAGACGUAAAAUUCUACAUUAUAUGAGGAAUUUCCUUUUUUCCGAAUGGAGAAUCAUGUAGGCUAUCUUGCCAUUUCCAAGAGUAAUGUGUGGUUGUGUGUAAUACUUAAAAAAGAGAUGUUAUUUCUAAGCACUGCUUACCUAUCAGAGUCAAUGUAGAAGUAAGGUAAUUGCCACAUUUUCCAAAUCCAUGUAGAAGCAAGGAAACUGCUACAUUUUCCUAUUAAAUUGAUUAAUGAUAUUUGUAAGCACGCAAUCUAUGCUUUAACUA
This 7512-nucleotide long non-coding RNA is filed under the name Olea europaea subsp. europaea. The record is from RNAcentral. Lineage: Eukaryota; Viridiplantae; Streptophyta; Magnoliopsida; Lamiales; Oleaceae.